This 83-nucleotide non-coding RNA is filed under the name Betaproteobacteria bacterium MOLA814. RNAcentral's name for it is "SucA RNA motif". It matches the Rfam family "SucA RNA motif". Lineage: Bacteria; Pseudomonadati; Pseudomonadota; Betaproteobacteria. The record is from RNAcentral.
UCGCAUCCGCUAAUCGGUUCAGCCGUGUCGCAGGAGGUUUUUUUACCCAACUUAUGUUUUCCAUAGGAAAACGGAGGUCAGCG